CCUACGGGAGGCUGCAGUAGGGAAUCUUCCACAAUGGACGAAAGUCUGAUGGAGCAACGCCGCGUGAGCGAAGAAGGUUUUCGGAUCGUAAAGCUCUGUUGUGAGGGAAGAACAAGUACGGGAGUAACUGUCCGUACCUUGACGGUACCUCAUUAGAAAGCCACGGCUAACUACGUGCCAGCAGCCGCGGUAAUACGUAGGUGGCAAGCGUUGUCCGGAAUUAUUGGGCGUAAAGCGCGCGCAGGCGGUCCUUUAAGUCUGAUGUGAAAGCCCACGGCUCAACCGUGGAGGGUCAUUGGAAACUGGGGGACUUGAGUACAGAAGAGGAAAGUGGAAUUCCACGUGUAGCGGUGAAAUGCGUAGAGAUGUGGAGGAACACCAGUGGCGAAGGCGACUUUCUGGUCUGUAACUGACGCUGAGGCGCGAAAGCGUGGGGAGCAAACAGGAUUAGAUACCCCUGUAGUC
Molecule: ribosomal RNA, 465 nt
Filed under: uncultured Sporosarcina sp.
Lineage: Bacteria; Bacillati; Bacillota; Bacilli; Caryophanales; Caryophanaceae
Description: bacterial SSU rRNA
Rfam family: Bacterial small subunit ribosomal RNA
Source: RNAcentral